AGCUAUUCCAGGCAAAAGCAGCUGGGAUAGGCCUGCUUGGAGGUGGGGUGCUGGAGACAGGGGUGCCCAGCCUGUUCACAAUAAGAAGUAACCACGGUAAAGAUACAAAUAGUGUCCUGGGACAGAAGCCAAGCCACCUUGUUAUCUACUUUACCAGCUAAGCCCAGAGAGGGUGGAGCAGGCUCAAGGUCGGCUGCGGAGAUCCUGGCCUCAGCUUCCCAGCAGAGGGCUCUUCUGCAGAAAGUGAUCCCAGGAUAGGGGGCUGCCAUGGGAGUCAGGGAUUUGCACCCCAAAUUUCAGGUGGUAUCUGAGCUCUGUGUGUCCUUCCUACCCACCUCUCAGGUGCUACUUACAUCUGAUAAACUCAAGUGGUGGACAGAACAGAGAGGGCCUCCUCCAAGGUGACUUGCUAAGUCCUCCCCUAACGACGAAAUAGAGAAGCUUCCUGCCCCUGUUACACAUGGCCUCCUCCCGGGCCCAGCAGCUCACCUGGACCACGGAAAGCACAGAAAGAACUGGCUGAAUGAAUCAAGAGAUCAAGUGUUCUCCCUGAGGCCCUGUAACAGCUCUGCAGCUGACUGCCCAGAAGGAAGCAGAAGUGAGUGACAAGUUGGGGGAACCAGAGCUUGCACACCAUAGGCCUGAACACUAGCCUCUGGGGAAAGGCAAGUCCAGCUGACCUUGGUGAAGUUAGGACCCGGGCCGAGGCCACCUCUUCUGGUUCACCCUCUGCUGGCCUCCCAGCUUCUUUGGCUCAGCAACACCCAGGAUUCCAGGCAUGUUUGCCUCUGGCCUUCUAAAAAUACCCAGGCCACCCAGCACCUCCCAGAUGUCUGAGCGCUGAGUCUGUGAUUUCCCUGCCGGUAAUGGGACAGCCCCGGGGUGGGCAGGCGGGGGUGGCUCGAGCAGCUCAAGCCACUUCCUCUGCCUCCCAUCCCCUAGCCUACCAGAAGCUGGACCCAGCCCUGCCUCCCAAUCCUUGCAAGGCAAAGGAGGGUAGAGGCUAGCAGACCUCAGAGAUUGUUGACUCCAGUCUCUUCUUGGGACAGAUGGGAGAUCUGAAGUCUAAGGAUUGCUCAUGGCACUUGUGCCAUUAAGGUCCUCCUCACCCCACUCCCCAGCACUGUGUUCAUGCCUGCUGCUGUCUCACUUCCCACAUGCUACUUGGAGUCUAGGUCUUGGAGCCCAACCUGACUUCCUCCAUGCAGCUGAAAGCUCCUGACAGCAGUGAAGGGGAGGAUCCCUGUGGUCUCCAUGGUGCCUGGAAGAGUGUCCAAUCCAGAGCACACCAUCAGUAAACGUAGAUUGGAUUGAACAAUGUAGUGGCAGCUGGGGCAAUGGGUGGAGCACUGGGCUGGAGGACAAAGCCUCUGAAUUCUAUCUAGCCCAGGGUCAGCCACUGUGAUACUAUGCAUCCUCAUCAAUUGCCCUGGACAAACCUGUUUCUCCUGGGCUGGAUAGGAUGGUGUCUAAGGACUGAGCCAGCUCUGCUGAUAUGAAGCUGCAAGCUGAUGCCCUGCUGGAUAUUCCUGUCCCUUCUCUGCUCUACUGUAUGUCUGGGAGAGAUGGCACAACCUGUAGGUUCCAUCAGCUCCAGGUUCUCAGCUUCUGCUCCUCCCUCCGUGCUUCUGAACAUUCCACCUCUGGUCCUAGCCCCUGAGGCCCAGCUCUUCCAAUAGUGCCACUUCCACCUCUGCUGCUGGGUACACAGGGGUGAAUGCAUACCUACCUCGCUCACUAAUCAUGUGACCUUGGGUAAGGCAUUGCCCUUUUCUGGGCUUCAGUUUUAUCAUAUCUAAAAGGGAAUAAUAAGGCCUACCUUAAAGGAGUGCUAUGAGGAUGUAGGAGAUUCCAUAGCUCAGAUGUCAGGUUAUAUAUCACCUCCUGCAGAAAGUCUCCCCUGUCCUCCCAAGGAUGGCUCAGAUAGCAUUUGUUGCUGGCUCUUCAGUUCUGACCUUCCCAUGUUCACACUAUGUGGUCAUUGGCUCUCUAUGCAUCCAUCCCCCACCAAGCUGUGGGCUCCUCAAGGCCAGGAGUCUCCAGGACCCAGUACAGGACCUUUACAGAUGAAGUGCCUGGGAACGUUUUUUGACAGACACAGUGGGUGAGUAAAGCCUGAGAGAAAGGCAAGGGGUUGUGCAGAAGUCUGGGAGUCUGAGUAAGAAGUGGCCUGACUGACAGGGCAAGUUCUGGUGGUAUGAAUAUUGACAGCUGCUUGGAGCCCUUCCCCCAUUUCCCUGCUUGGUAAAUUCAUCCUUCAAGAUCCCAGGAGAGCAUCUCCUUCCCUGAGAAACCUGAUCACUCUCCCCUCUACCACAUUACACACUCCACUGUAGGUGUUCUUUACACACCUGUCUCCCUUCUCAGAUGUGAGUUCCCUGAAGGCAAGACCCUGUUGGAUCUCACAGCACCAAGCACUAGAUCUGGCAUGAGUUAGUCAAGGUUUUGGAGCAGAAGAAUGGAUGGAGGAAAUAAUUUCUGAAUCGAACUUGGAAUUGAACUGCCUGAACUUUAAUGCCCUUUCCAGCCUUAGGGAUGAUAAUGAAUUACCAAAGUGAGAAAAAUGGAGGCGCAAGCUGUUGUCAUCCUUCCAGAGGCACCCUCCAAGUGUGUGUGGGUGAAAUGUGAGCUGGAGAGAGGAUUGACAAAGAGCAGUGAAAACAUAUUCCUGGACCCCAUUCUUUUUUUUUUUUUUUUUUUUUUUGAG
RNAcentral lists this long non-coding RNA (2707 nucleotides) under Homo sapiens (human). Its description in RNAcentral is "HSALNT0363726". Lineage: Eukaryota; Metazoa; Chordata; Mammalia; Primates; Hominidae. The record is from RNAcentral.